This 291-nucleotide unclassified non-coding RNA is filed under the name Glomus sp. Its description in RNAcentral is "partial contains 5.8S ribosomal RNA and internal transcribed spacer 2". The stretch from base 1 to 65 matches the Rfam family "5.8S ribosomal RNA", at positions 84 to 154 of the family's 154-position model. The record is from RNAcentral. Lineage: Eukaryota; Fungi; Glomeromycota; Glomeromycetes; Glomerales; Glomeraceae.
GUGAAUCAUCAAAUUUUUGAACGCAAAUUGCACUCUCCUCGGAGAGUAUGGCUGUUUGAGUGUCAGCCUAUAAAAAAUCGACAUCGUUGCUGUUUCGCGGUGGCGUUCUUCGGAAAUUGGGUCAUCUUAAAUCCUUUUGUUUUUUAAGCGACUUAAGAUUUUCUUUUUGGUUCCAUAAACGUUUCUAUGAUUUAUUUCUUUACACGUUUAAGGUAUUGAUUUUUAUUAGACUUGACCAUCAUAUCGGAUCGCGUCCAUAAUCUUUCAUUAACUGACCUCAGACAGGGAAGA